RNAcentral lists this ribosomal RNA (548 nucleotides) under uncultured bacterium. RNAcentral's name for it is "bacterial SSU rRNA". It matches the Rfam family "Bacterial small subunit ribosomal RNA", at positions 370 to 917 of the family's 1533-position model. The record is from RNAcentral.
ANUGGGCGCAGCCUGAUGCAGCGACGCCGCGUGGGGGAUGACGGCCUUCGGGUUGUAAACCUCUUUCACCAUCGACGAAGGCCCGCUUUUGGGUGGGUUGACGGUAGGUGGAGAAGAAGCACCGGCCAACUACGUGCCAGCAGCCGCGGUAAUACGUAGGGUGCGAGCGUUGUCCGGAAUUACUGGGCGUAAAGAGCUCGUAGGUGGUUUGUCGCGUUGUUCGUGAAAUUCCCUGGCUUAACUGGGGGCGUGCGGGCGAUACGGGCAGACUGGAGUACUGCAGGGGAGACUGGAAUUCCUGGUGUAGCGGUGGAAUGCGCAGAUAUCAGGAGGAACACCGGUGGCGAAGGCGGGUCUCUGGGCAGUAACUGACGCUGAGGAGCGAAAGCGUGGGGAGCGAACAGGAUUAGAUACCCUGGUAGUCCACGCCGUAAACGGUGGGUACUAGGUGUGGGUUUCCUUCCUUGGGAUCCGUGCCGUAGCUAACGCAUUAAGUACCCCGCCUGGGGAGUACGGCCGCAAGGCUAAAACUCAAAGGAAUUGACGGA